Stegostoma tigrinum is the source of this 510-nucleotide long non-coding RNA. RefSeq lists it as uncharacterized. Lineage: Eukaryota; Metazoa; Chordata; Chondrichthyes; Orectolobiformes; Stegostomatidae. The record is from RefSeq and is a predicted model, not a curated record. The transcript is spliced from 4 exons.
UGAAGGGUCUAGGCCCGAAACGUCAGCUUUUGUGCUCCUGAGAUGCUGCUUGGCCUGCUGUGUUCAUCCAGCCUCACAUUUUAUUAUCCUGUAAUGUAGAAGGUUUGUUUCCAGUUUUAUUGAGAACACUAUCCUUUCAGUAUCACAACGUUUAAGAAGGUUACCUUUGUUGAAAUUCCAGAUUUUUAAUGAGUUGAAAUUUGACAACAUGCCAUCAUGCAGUAAAACACCGUGUUUCCCACGAUUUCAGCCUGGGGCCCUAGAUUACUAGUCCAGUGACAUUAAUACGCAACCUCACUGUUCCUCUGACAGAGCAACAAGGCUAAAGCAAAAAGAUCUCUUUAUGGCCCCUGCAAUUAUGCUGUAGCAUAAUGGAAAGUAUAAAUAACCAUGAUCAAGAUAUUUUGUUGUUAACAUUACUGUGAAAAUAUUGCUCUUCACUUUAAUACAUACUACAGCAAUGCUAAAGAUUGCUUUCAUUGUUCAAUAGUAUAUAUAGUCUUACCUGAA